AGUGAACGCUGGCGGUAGGCCUAACACAUGCAAGUCGAACGGCAGCACAGUAAGAGCUUGCUCUUACGGGUGGCGAGUGGCGGACGGGUGAGGAAUACAUCGGAAUCUACUUUUUCGUGGGGGAUAAGGUAGGGAAACUAAGGUUAAUACGGCAUAGGACCAACGGGGGAAAGCAGGGGAUUUUCGGACUUUGGGCGAUGGAAUGAGCCGAUGUCGGAUUAGCUAGUUGGCGGGGUAAAGGCCCACCAAGGCGACGAUCCGUAGCUGGUCUGAGAGGAUGAUCAGCCACACUGGAACUGAGACACGGUCCAGACUCCUACGGGAGGCAGCAGUGGGGAAUAUUGGACAAUGGGCGCAAGCCUGAUCCAGCCAUACCGCGUGGGUGAAGAAGGCCUUCGGGUUGUAAAGCCCUUUUGUUGGGAAAGAAAAGCAGCAGGUUAAUACCCCGCUGUUCUGACGGUACCCAAAGAAUAAGCACCGGCUAACUUCGUG
This 492-nucleotide ribosomal RNA is filed under the name uncultured bacterium. Its description in RNAcentral is "partial 16S ribosomal RNA". It matches the Rfam family "Bacterial small subunit ribosomal RNA", at positions 29 to 507 of the family's 1533-position model. The record is from RNAcentral.